GCCUGGGUGGCUCAGUAGGUUAAGUGUCUGGCUUCAGCUCAGGUCAUGAUUUCAUGGUUUGUGGGUUCGAACCCCGUGUCAGGCU
This 85-nucleotide transfer RNA is filed under the name Felis catus (domestic cat). It matches the Rfam family "tRNA". Rfam says of the family: Transfer RNA (tRNA) molecules are approximately 80 nucleotides in length. Their secondary structure includes four short double-helical elements and three loops (D, anti-codon, and T loops). Further hydrogen bonds mediate the characteristic L-shaped molecular structure. tRNAs have two regions of fundamental functional importance: the anti-codon, which is responsible for specific mRNA codon recognition, and the 3' end, to which the tRNAs corresponding amino acid is attached (by aminoacyl-tRNA synthetases). tRNAs cope with the degeneracy of the genetic code in two manners: having more than one tRNA (with a specific anti-codon) for a particular amino acid; and 'wobble' base-pairing, i.e. permitting non-standard base-pairing at the 3rd anti-codon position. Lineage: Eukaryota; Metazoa; Chordata; Mammalia; Carnivora; Felidae. The record is from Rfam by way of RNAcentral. RNAcentral also lists the same sequence under 1 other name.